Molecule: transfer RNA, 67 nt
Filed under: Heterocephalus glaber (naked mole-rat)
Lineage: Eukaryota; Metazoa; Chordata; Mammalia; Rodentia; Bathyergidae
Rfam family: tRNA
About the family: Transfer RNA (tRNA) molecules are approximately 80 nucleotides in length. Their secondary structure includes four short double-helical elements and three loops (D, anti-codon, and T loops).
Source: Rfam by way of RNAcentral
UGCAGCUUAGUGCUACAGCACUUGCCUACCAUGCAUGAGGCCCUGGGUUCAACACCCAGCACUGCAA